Non-coding RNA from Pelobates cultripes (western spadefoot toad), 642 nucleotides. NCBI's taxonomy places the organism in Eukaryota, Metazoa, Chordata, Amphibia, Anura, Pelobatidae. The record is from the annotation of a GenBank genome assembly.
CCACCUGUCAGUCAGUUCUUCAGCAUAGACUCUAUGCCGAAGAAUUGACUGUUAAGGGAGAGUAGAAGAGACCUCCCCCAGGCAGUCAUCCUGCUCUCCACGCAGGGCAUGUGCUGUGGUUUCUAUGGUAACUCCCUAGUUGACGCUGCUUGCGCUAGCUAGGGAGUAUAGAAACAUAGUGAAUGAUGUCAACAAAGCUAGCAUGUCGGUGUCACAGAAGAGGUUUGCCCUUCUUGGACCAGGCAGAGCAUUACUCCCACAAAGCUGACGACGAAGACAUGACGAUGCUGGAUCUCAAAAUUUUACAUUGAAUGCAUCAUGUAUCUCUGUGAUGUAUGAUGUAUUCCUUGUAACUGGGGAGAUUUAGCUUUAGUCAAAAAUGUAAUAAGAGAUUCACUAUAAUAUUAAAAAAAUCACAUCGUGAGCUGUAUGACCAUCAUAGAAGAUUUCAAAAACAUGUCCAGUUGGAUCAAAUGGAGCUGGAGCGAAAACCUUAGUUUAUUUUUAAUUCAAACAGUUAUAUUUUUUUCCUACUGUUUAUACCCAUAUUUUUAUUUUUACUAACUUCACCGGAAGUUUUAUAUACAUGUGUAUGUGCAUACACAUAAGAAAAACUAGGAAAUACUUUUUCCUAUAGACUGU